GACGAACGCUGGCGGCGUGCUUAACACAUGCAAGUCGAACGGUAAGGCCCUGCUUUUGUGGGUUGCUCGAGUGGCGAAAGGGUGAGUAACACGUGAGUGACCUGCGCUUGACUUUGGGAUAACUUCAGGAAACAGGGGAUAAUACAGGAUAGAAGCUCCUGCUGCAUGGUGUGGGUUGGAAAGAUUCGGCGGUUGGGGAUGGACUCGCGGUUUAUCAGCUUGUUGGUGAGGUAGUGGCUUACCAAGGCUUUGACGGGUAGCCGGACUGAGAGGGUGACCGGCCACAGUGGGACUGAGAUACGGCCCGGACUCCUACGUGAGGCAGCAGUGGGGGAUAGUGCACAAUGGGCGGAAGCCUGAUGCAGCAACGCCGCGUGCGGGAUGACGGCCUUAGGGUUGGAAACCGCGUUCGCCUGGGAAGAAGCGUGAGUGACGGUAAUUUGUAAAGAAGCACCGGCUAACUACGUG
This 468-nucleotide ribosomal RNA is filed under the name uncultured bacterium. RNAcentral describes it as "partial 16S ribosomal RNA". It matches the Rfam family "Bacterial small subunit ribosomal RNA", at positions 28 to 507 of the family's 1533-position model. The record is from RNAcentral.